Arachis ipaensis is the source of this 394-nucleotide non-coding RNA. The record is from RefSeq and is a predicted model, not a curated record. NCBI's taxonomy places the organism in Eukaryota, Viridiplantae, Streptophyta, Magnoliopsida, Fabales, Fabaceae.
ACCAGUGCCGAGCCUUCCACUGCCAUUUGCGAGCUCCGUUCUGUUCAACGUCGCUGCCGCCGCAUCGAUCGACCUCUGUGUCCUCGCCAACACCGCGCCGACCAACCCGCCGCCUCCACCCAAUUUUGGGCAGCGUCUUUGUCAGCUCCUCCACGCGCGUUCUGAGUGACAUCUGUGUCCACCGUCGUUGCCGACCUUUCUCCUUGCGGUGCUACCCGCCGCUGCGCCGCCACCCUCCUACCAUUACAAAAUUACCUGAUUUAUGUUGCUGAAAAGCCUUGCCGCCGACUAUCGCGCGCCACCAUCAAGACACACACACAUGUGGAUUCGGCUAUGGAACUUAUCCUUCUCUUUCUUUUUUCCUUCUUCGCCAUCCAUUGCAGAAGACAUGGAG